This is a long non-coding RNA of Acanthopagrus latus (yellowfin seabream), 1030 nucleotides long. RefSeq lists it as uncharacterized. The record is from RefSeq and is a predicted model, not a curated record. The transcript is spliced from 2 exons. NCBI's taxonomy places the organism in Eukaryota, Metazoa, Chordata, Actinopteri, Spariformes, Sparidae.
AUGUGUUCAUGCAGGAUCCCAUCGCACAGUGGAAAAACCCACAGCGAUGACCCCCUUUGUAUUCAGAGUGCAUAGGGAUACUAACAACUGCAGUCUAUUUAGACAUGAAAGAGAGAUGAGCAGUGAAGAAAACAUGGGCAGCUUCUCAGCGUGUGGCUUUGUACUGGUGCUGUGGUUGUCCUCACUAACCAGACACUGAAUCACUGCUAAAGGCAAUGCGAAGGUUCAUCAAGGAGGGUUAAUGACAGUGCGGUUUAUGAGACAAGUGUGCGCGUUUUGACCUUCAGCCAGCUGGUCCGUCUGCAAGAUGCAGCGUGUAUGUGUCUCUCUGAGGAUAUAUAUAGCACUCAAAGUUUCUCUUUCACCGUGUUAACAAAAUGAUGAAAAGUAGCGCAAGGGAAGGGCAAACGGAGUGAGUCACUCAUUCAUGAGUCAGUGCAGCGCUACUAAGAACACUUCCCUCCUGCAUAUUAGCCGAGUGCAGGUGGGGACUGUGACCUGGGAGAGAGGAGCCCUCAGAGGAGAGCGUGAUGGUUGAUCCUGGCUGACAGCGACAGUCCAGGGAGGGAAGCCUGCUAAUCCUGUUUGAUUUAUGAUCUGAGCCAGAAAACGAGACGGAGCCACAGAGUGAACGGUCCGGGCUGUUAGCCGAAGCCUCGGGGUGAUCUCAUCGAGCUCAGAUGGUCAGUUCUGGUCCUGGUGAUCAACUCUACGUUGGAUGCAGCAUACACCUGAAAAAGGAGGAGACACACCUCUUGUGUUCUGUUUGCUCUGGCUUCACUUCCUCAUUGUUUGGGACCAAUGAACUGAAAAUCGAAUUUUCAGUUUCCUACCUGGUGCGUAGAAAAGUAUUAAAGUAGUAACUGUUCUCUCUGCCAUGCACCAGGAAGAGAAUGAGCAUUAAGCAUUGUUAUUGCAACAUUUAAGGAAAUAUUUCACAUUUUCUAUCUUGUAUGAACUGUGCAUGAACAACUAUGAUCCUUCUGUUUUACUGAAUUUUUAUUAAACUUCAAUAAAAUAAAUCCAAACA